GACAAACGCUGGCGGCGUGCCUAAUACAUGCAAGUAGAACGCACAGUUUAUACCGUAGCUUGCUACACCAUAGACUGUGAGUUGCGAACGGGUGAGUAACGCGUAGGUAACCUGCCUGGUAGCGGGGGAUAACUAUUGGAAACGAUAGCUAAUACCGCAUAAUAUUAAUUAUUGCAUGAUAAUUAAUUGAAAGGUGCAAUUGCACCACUACCAGAUGGACCUGCGUUGUAUUAGCUAGUAGGUGAGGUAACGGCUCACCUAGGCGACGAUACAUAGCCGACCUGAGAGGGUGAUCGGCCACACUGGGACUGAGACACGGCCCAGACUCCUACGGGAGGCAGCAGUAGGGAAUCGUCGGCAAUGGAAGAAAGUCUGACCGAGCAACGCCGCGGGAGUGAAGAAGGGUGUCGGAUCGUAAAGGUCUGUUGUAAGAGAAGAACGGGUGUGAGAGUGGAAAGUUCACACUGUGACGGUAUCUUACCAGAAAGGGACGGCUAACUACGUG
This 505-nucleotide ribosomal RNA is filed under the name uncultured bacterium. Its description in RNAcentral is "partial 16S ribosomal RNA". It matches the Rfam family "Bacterial small subunit ribosomal RNA", at positions 28 to 507 of the family's 1533-position model. The record is from RNAcentral.